This 67-nucleotide transfer RNA is filed under the name Botrylloides giganteus. Its description in RNAcentral is "transfer RNA-Leu(CUN)". Lineage: Eukaryota; Metazoa; Chordata; Ascidiacea; Stolidobranchia; Styelidae. The record is from RNAcentral.
UUCCCUGUAGGAUAAAAUUGAAUCCUUUACAUUUAGGAUGUAAAAAUAAAUUGAGGUUUUGGGGGAG